GAGGAAUAUUGGUCAAUGGGCGCGAGCCUGAACCAGCCAAGUAGCGUGAAGGAUGACUGCCCUAUGGGUUGUAAACUUCUUUUAUAAGGGAAUAAAGUGAGGCACGUGUGCCUUAUUGUAUGUACCGUACGAAUAAGGAUCGGCUAACUCCGUGCCAGCAGCCGCGGUAAUACGGAGGAUCCGAGCGUUAUCCGGAUUUAUUGGGUUUAAAGGGUGCUCAGGCGGGGGAUUAAGUCGGCGGUGAAAUUUUGCAGCUCAACUGUAAAAGUGCCUUCGAAACUGGUUUCCUUGAGUGCGGAUGAGGUAGGCGGAAUUUGUGGUGUAGCGGUGAAAUGCAUAGAUAUCACGAGGAACUCCGAUUGCGCAGGCAGCUUACCAAGCCGUAACUGACGCUCAAGCACGAAGGCGUGGGGAUCAAACA
RNAcentral lists this ribosomal RNA (421 nucleotides) under uncultured Proteiniphilum sp. Its description in RNAcentral is "bacterial SSU rRNA". It matches the Rfam family "Bacterial small subunit ribosomal RNA", at positions 356 to 774 of the family's 1533-position model. Lineage: Bacteria; Pseudomonadati; Bacteroidota; Bacteroidia; Bacteroidales; Dysgonomonadaceae. The record is from RNAcentral.